Molecule: small nucleolar RNA, 76 nt
Filed under: Gossypium arboreum
Lineage: Eukaryota; Viridiplantae; Streptophyta; Magnoliopsida; Malvales; Malvaceae
Description: Plant small nucleolar RNA R71
Rfam family: Plant small nucleolar RNA R71
About the family: R71 is a member of the C/D box family of snoRNAs containing the C (UGAUGA) and D (CUGA) box motifs. Multiple nearly identical copies of this snoRNA have been identified in Arabidopsis, and it is thought to function as a 2'-O-ribose methylation guide for 18S ribosomal RNA.
Source: Rfam by way of RNAcentral
AACCCAUGGUGAGGGCACCUUUUCAAAAGAUCCUUGUAUCUCUCCCAUGCAUCGUAGAGUGUUUCUAAAUCCAUCU